Molecule: long non-coding RNA, 2733 nt
Organism: Chloebia gouldiae (Gouldian finch)
Lineage: Eukaryota; Metazoa; Chordata; Aves; Passeriformes; Passeridae
Source: Ensembl
AUGGCUGGGCAGAGAGGAGGGCUGGCCCUGCCCCUGCUCUGGCCCCUGCUGCUGCUGCUGCUGCUGAGCCUCACCUGCCUCGCCGUGCUGCACCUGGCUCUGGAGACCACUGCCAUGGGUGUGACAGCAACUGUGUCUCCAGCUCUCCUUACCUCCUCAACACCCAUGGAGAGCUCAACACUGCUGCCUACCACUGACGCCACCACCACAGACACCCUCCUUUCCUCCAGCCCUGAAACAGAAGCCUCCACCCCAGAGGAGUCCAGCACAUCCACAGAGACUGGCAACACCUCACCUCCCACUGUGCUUCCUCCCACCACAACUACAGAAGAUUCAUCUGAAUCUACAGAAGAGUCCUUGUCAACCCUGGCAGAUACCACAGCCAGCCCUGUCAUCAGCACAUCAGACCCCAUGAGCACUCCCUCUUCAAGCUACCCAGACAGGACCGCUCCUGACAUCUUCCCCCCAACUGUGGAGUUGACUCCAGGCACUGAGCCCUCUUCCCCUGCCACCAGCUCAGCCCAGACCUCAGAGGCUACUACCCUCAGCACGCCUACAAAGCUGCCAACACUGCUGCCUGUCUGCCCCUCUGGCUCAUCCAACACCAGUGCAUCUUACCUCUUUCUGUCGCUGCGGCUGACCACCCCUCUGGACCUGAGGAACACCACAGUGCAGGAGCUGAUGUUGUCCAAGCUCCGUGAGGACCUGCAGACAGCGUUCCCGUGUGCUGGCCUGUCACUGGCAUGGCGAGGGAAGAGGAGGACUUGACUGCUGCCUGUUGCCUGGCCUGCUCUCUCCUGGACUGCCAAGCCACCCGCUCCCAGCUCCUCACUCCAUGGUGGUGCAGGCCCCUGGGGAAUCCCACACAACUCCUCUUGAGCCUGGGGCUUCCUGUCCUUCACUCUGUUCCCCCAGUCCCCUCCUUCCCCUUCCCACAGCCUGUCCGAAGAGCCCGUGCCCUCCCACCACCCUGCUCCAGACCUGGUUCCUGUGGUGGGACCCCCUCCAGCCCUGCUGCGGGGCUGGGAGAAGGGGACCCCGCAGGACUGGGCUUUUGCAUCUGGGACUGAUGGGGCAGCCAUCAAAGCCACCCUGGGGACAGAGGGAUGAGAGGAAGGAGACCUGAAGCACCCAGUACUGCUGUUCCCAAGGCUCACCUGCAGUAUUGCUGACAGAAGAGAACACCCAUGACGGGCAGUAAAUAGAAAUGCCAUGUUUUCUGUGUUGAAAUGAUGACUUCUUUUUUCAAUUUUCCAAGUUGCCUUUCCCAAUUUUCAGCUUUGCCAUCGAUUGGAGGUACCGGUGAGGAAAACUGAGUCUCCAGAGCUUUGCGUGGAGAGCCAGGCUCAGUGCUGUCCCCUCCCACCAGGGGCUGCUGCAGACAUUCCCAAGGAUGGCUCGGCACCCCGGCAGACUGGUGGUCUCUGCUUUGGAGCUCUCUGCCCCAUAACACCCCACAGUGCAGGGGCAGCACUGUGGGGCUGUGGAAAUCCCGUGGGCUGUGCUCCUUACCUGUUUUUUCCAGUCCCCAACUAAGGAGAUGGCUGCAACAUCUGUCCCCCUGCAGCAAAGUCAUUUAUUAACUGAUUAAUUAGCCAGAUAAAAUCCAGCUGAAGCAAUUAUUAGCCUUAGCAAGCCACCUCACCUGGAAAUUGAAAACUGAAAUAAUUAGCAAAAUGGCCUUGUUGUGUGUCAGGGGUUGUUUUUGGCUGAUCCCUGCUUCUUACUGGCAGCCCUCACUGCCUCAACACAGGGAGGACUGAGAGGGGGCGUGUGGGGCUGUGGGAUUCCUAACCUGGGGACUUCUCUCAGGCUGUCUGGAUUGUCAGCAGCUGGACAGGAUGGGGAGAGACACUGUGGGAUGACCCAGCUGCCUGCCAGUUCAGAGGGCCUGGGAUGAGGCUGGGCUGGAGGCUGUGCCCAGGCAGCUUGUCAGGAUGCUCCCAUUUGGGUUGCUCCUUGCAUUCCAGGGUGGCCCCUUUGCUCUUUAGGAUGCUGCCUGGCUUUUGUGGGCUUGUUGGACUCAUCGAGACUGAGAGAGGUCCCUUAGCAGCUGGGCAAGGAGCUGACGAGCAGGGCAAAGCCUGUUGGAAGGAGUCCCUGUGCAGGCUGCCUGCUGGGGUGCUGGGAAAGAAAUCCUUGUGGCCUGCCUACGCCUUGGAGCUGGGCCAGGAGUCCUCCCACGUCGCGUCCCACUGGGCUGUUUUCUCCGGCUGUUGAAUCCAUAACUUCAGACCCCAGGACAUGGCUGGGUGCCAAGGCCAGGGUAAUGGAGCCAAACUGCGUCACAAAGGGAGGAAAAGGUCCUGAAGUGCUGGGAUAAAAAGGUGACCAGGGUACUCACUGUUCCCUGCUGGCACAGCCGCCCUCCACCGUUAUUGUGGCUGGGGGACCGUGGGGGGAGGAGAUGCUCUGCUCCCCUCUGUCACCAGGGAGGAGAGGAGCUCCCUUGGAGUGGUGUCACUGCCCAGGCAGUGGUGGCACAGAGCUCUGACAAGCCCCCGACACUGCCCAUACUCUUCCUGUGCCCAUACUCUGCUGUCCUUGAGGUGCCACCUUCACCCCAUGGCUGCUUGCCUGCCCCAAACUGCUGCCCAGACAGACUUGGGAGGCUGGAUCCAAGUCCUGCUGCUUUCCCAGCCCACAAAAGAGUUCUCAGCCUCUUUGUUGUAAUACACUCCAAUCUCUCAGCAUCGUCCAAAGGAAUAAAUCUUGUGCCCAACAUGACUGUCA